AACACAUUCACUGAAGGAAGCAAGUGGCCACCAGAAGAUGCUUCGUUUUGCCAUCCUCGUGUUACUCUCUUGUGCCAUCUCCACCAGUGCAGGGCAGCCUAUGAAAUGCUCUGCUUCCCAUUCUGGCGAAUAUGGAGGGACUGGAGGAUCUCGCUUCUCACAGUCCGUAAACCAAUUGGAUGGGCCCAUAACUAUCCUUCAGAUCCGUGCAAGCCCAAC
Long non-coding RNA from Gekko japonicus, 219 nucleotides. RefSeq lists it as uncharacterized. The record is from RefSeq and is a predicted model, not a curated record. NCBI's taxonomy places the organism in Eukaryota, Metazoa, Chordata, Lepidosauria, Squamata, Gekkonidae. The transcript is spliced from 3 exons.